RNAcentral lists this ribosomal RNA (479 nucleotides) under uncultured bacterium. RNAcentral describes it as "SSU rRNA". It matches the Rfam family "Bacterial small subunit ribosomal RNA", at positions 26 to 521 of the family's 1533-position model. The record is from RNAcentral.
AGAAUCAACGCUGGCGGCGUGCCUCAGACAUGCAAGUCGAACGAUUAAACUUUCCUUCGGGAAAGAUAUAAAGUGGCGCACGGGUGAGUAACACGUAGAUAAUGUACCUUUGGGUGGGGAAUAACAGUCGGAAACGACUGCUAAUACCGCAUAAUGCAGCAGCAUCGCAAGAUGCAGUUGUUAAAGAAGCAAUUCGCCUAAAAGAGCAGUCUGCGGCAGAUUAGCUAGUUGGUAAGGUAAUGGCUUACCAAGGCUACGAUCUGUAACCGACCUGAGAGGGUGGUCGGUCACACUGACACUGAAUAACGGGUCAGACUCCUACGGGAGGCAGCAGUCGGGAAUUUUGGGCAAUGGGCGAAAGCCUGACCCAGCAACGCCGCGUGAAGGACGAAGUCUUCGGGAUGUAACUUCGUAAGAUAGGAAGAAUAAAUGACGGUACUAUUGUAAGGUCCGGCUAACUACGCGCCAGCAGCCGCGGU